RNAcentral lists this ribosomal RNA (253 nucleotides) under uncultured bacterium. Its description in RNAcentral is "partial 16S ribosomal RNA". It matches the Rfam family "Bacterial small subunit ribosomal RNA", at positions 524 to 776 of the family's 1533-position model. The record is from RNAcentral.
UACAGAGGGGGCAAGCGUUGUUCGGAAUUACUGGGCGUAAAGGGCGCGUAGGCGGCCUGUUAAGUCGAACGUGAAAUCCCCGGGCUCAACCCGGGAACUGCGUCCGAUACUGGCAGGCUUGAAUUCGGGAGAGGGAUGUGGAAUUCCAGGUGUAGCGGUGAAAUGCGUAGAUAUCUGGAGGAACACCGGUGGCGAAGGCGGCAUCCUGGACCGAUAUUGACGCUGAUUCGCGAAAGCCAGGGGAGCAAACGGG